GCUACAACAAACAGCACAAUGCAUUCAGACAAGAAGUUCAACUGUUCCUAUUGGGGUGUGAUGUGGUCUUGCGUUUCUCCCUUUUCUAUUUUUGCUUCUCUGCUUUUAUCCCCUUCUUUUCACCCGCACACUUCCCUUUCUCUUAUAUUACACGCGAUAUUCUUUCUUUUUCAUAUUAGGCGAUGGAAGAACGAGCGAUAGACAUUCAUUUCAUGUUCUGUUUAAGCUUGAGACUCAUUUCAAAUUCACAAUCUCGUUAUUAUAGAUAUGAAAUAUUGUUAAUUCUGAUAAGAAAUGACUUGGUGGCUGAAAAAACCUUACCCAACUAAAGGCUACAGGAAAAUUCCAAAAGAUAAAAGAUUAGAUAAGAAAUACAGUUCUUUGAAUGCACAAAAUGUUUGGUGAACUAAUUAUCAAAGAAGCAGUGUCUUGCGCGCAGCAAAAAUGUUCCACUCUAUUAUGUUGAAAUAUUGACUUGGCAACUAAGUGGUUGCGGACUUUGCCGAUAGCGUCUAAUGACAAAAUCCGCAAUCACUUAGUUGCCAAGCCAAUAUUACAGAAAACGAAAUAAAUGUCUACCAUGAACGAUCCUCCGUUGGCUGUGAAAAAUCGACGGACAAGCGAGAUGCCACGAGGAUAAGCAACGAGUGUAAUCGCGGACGGCUACGAAAGAAUGAGAGAGAGAGAGAAAGAGAGAGAGAGAGAAAAAAAACGAGACGUGUGAUCCUGUGUUCAAAGGAAACGAUCGAAAAUUGUGAACGCAAAACCAGCUCGUCGAUGAUCUUCGACGGGACACAAGCGAUCAUUACGUUCGAGUAGGAAGAACAUGCUCGUACGAUAUUCUGGACAGAUGGAUCAAGGAUGACAGAUUUUUUACGCUUGUUGGUCUCGACGAUAAAUGUUCGCCGAUCGACACUCACCGACGCUCUCCGGCGCUGUCAUCGCUUGUAAUAUCCUGAACGAUCUGGAGGGAAUCGCGCUGCCCAUGUAUUUCUUUGGCUCUGGAACCUGUUGCUCGCUUGGUGGUAAGUUCGCUUGCGUUUCUUCUGCAAAUAUUAUAUUUAUCAUAUACAUCUUUUAGGAUUAAUGAGAAGCUAAUCUUGCUUCAAUGUAAUGGAGAGCUAAUCAGAGAAAAAUGACUAACAAGUUUACUUACCAAACGUCUUUGAAUUCCUGUUCUGCUUCUUGUUUAUGGCGGAUGGUGGCCGUGACGCUGCAACGUACGAUUUUAUUUUAUAAUUUUAUAAGUAGAUUCUUUUAUAAGUAGAAUUUUGUUGUACUAUCAGUACAUUCGUUACGUGCACACGAUAUGUAUUUUACAAAUACUAAUAAUACAGAGUUGUACCUUUAUGGUCGAUGGAUUCCAUGGAAAAGUGGUAGAAGUAUACGUUUUUUAAAAACAAGAUGAACACAUAUGAAACGAUAUAUAUAUAAAAUUGAUAUUUAUCUAUAGAAUUUUGUUAGAAAUUUCCAAGCUUCCAUAACGUUAUAGUAAUAAAUUUAAUGUUUAGAAAGAUACAGAAUUUUCUACUGACAUUUCAUUUUAUCUACAAUUUUCAAAGUCAUGUUUUAACUAUUUGUACCACUUUCUCUCUGAGCCUGUCAAUCGAUUGAAACGUAAAAAACUUACUCGUGUUCACAGCAGGAGCAUCACCGGACUCCGUCAUAGUUUGUAGGAAGCGGAAAGCUCGAGAGGGUAUAGCACCACCACGAUAUCUCGGAUCUUCCUCGUGAUGAAGAGAAGAUUCAUUGUCGACUAUAGAAAGAAGAACACGUAGUAAUAACAGAAUAAUCAAACGAUAAAAAACCACAUCAUUCUGGUAAAAUACGAUCUUUACUUUG
Molecule: long non-coding RNA, 1842 nt
Organism: Bombus impatiens (common eastern bumble bee)
Lineage: Eukaryota; Metazoa; Arthropoda; Insecta; Hymenoptera; Apidae
Exons: 3
Source: RefSeq, a predicted model, not a curated record